GAUGAACGCUGACAGAAUGCUUAACACAUGCAAGUCAACUUGAACUUCGGUUUGGGUGGCGGACGGGUGAGUAACGCGUAAAGAACUUGCCUCACAGUUAGGGACAACAUUUGGAAACGAAUGCUAAUACCUGAUAUUAUGAUUUUAGGGCAUCCUAGAAUUAUGAAAGCUAUAUGCGCCGUGAGAGAGCUUUGCGUCCCAUUAGCUAGUUGGAGAGGUAACGGCUCACCAAGGCGAUGAUGGGUAGCCGGCCUGAGAGGGUGAACGGCCACAAGGGGACUGAGACACGGCCCUUACUCCUACGGGAGGCAGCAGUGGGGAAUAUUGGACAAUGGACCAAGAGUCUGAUCCAGCAAUUCUGUGUGCACGAUGAAGUUUUUCGGAAUGUAAAGUGCUUUCAGUUGGGAAGAAAAAAAUGACGAUACCAACAGAAGAAGUGACGGCUAAAUACGUG
This 454-nucleotide ribosomal RNA is filed under the name uncultured bacterium. RNAcentral describes it as "partial 16S ribosomal RNA". It matches the Rfam family "Bacterial small subunit ribosomal RNA", at positions 28 to 507 of the family's 1533-position model. The record is from RNAcentral.